This 490-nucleotide ribosomal RNA is filed under the name uncultured bacterium. RNAcentral describes it as "bacterial SSU rRNA". It matches the Rfam family "Bacterial small subunit ribosomal RNA", at positions 28 to 517 of the family's 1533-position model. The record is from RNAcentral.
GACGAACGCUGGCGGCGUGCUUAACACAUGCAAGUCGAACGGAGAACUUUCUUCGGAAUGUUCUUAGUGGCGAACGGGUGAGUAACGCGUAGGCAACCUGCCCUCUGGUUGGGGACAACAUUCCGAAAGGGAUGCUAAUACCGAAUGAGAUCCUCUUUCCGCAUGGAGAGAGGAUGAAAGAUGGCCUCUACUUGUAAGCUAUCGCCAGAAGAUGGGCCUGCGUCUGAUUAGCUUGUAGGUGGGGUAACGGCUCACCUAGGCGAUGAUCAGUAGCCGGUCUGAGAGGAUGAACGGCCACAUUGGGACUGAGACACGGCCCAAACUCCUACGGAGGCAGCAGUGGGGAAUAUUGGGCAAUGGGCGCAAGCCUGACCCAGCAACGCCCGCGUGAAGGAAGAAGGGACUUUCGGGUUGGUAAACUUCUUUUGUCAGGGACGAGUAGAAGAGGUACCUGACGAAUAAGCCACGGCUAACUACGUGCCAGCAGCCG